AAUUUUAAAAUAACAAGAUAAUUUGUUUUUUUAUUAGGCUAAUAUUAGUUAGAAGAUUUUAUUUUUAUUUUUUAUGAAAAUAGUAGUGAUAAAAAGUUUAUUGUUAGUUUAAUCUUUUAAUUUAGUAUUAGUAUAAUAAUAGUUAAUAGCGUGCCAGCAUCUGCGGUUAUACGAUUAUUAAAAAAAAAAUAUUUAUAUAUAAGUUUUAUGUAUAAAAAAAUUUUAAAGUAAAAUUUUAAUUUAUUUGUUUAUUAGCUUUAUUAUUAGUAAAGAAAACAAGGAUUAGAUACCCUUUUAUAGAAAAAUUAAGUAGUAUUAGAAUUUCUUUAAACUUAAGAAAUUUGGCGGUUUUUUAUCUAAUUAGAGGAUUUUAUUUUGUAAUAGAUAUUGCACAUUUAUUUUUUAUCCUAUUUUUUAAAUUUAUAUACCGUUGUUUAAUUAAUUUAAUUGUUAAUAAAAAUAUUAUUUUAAAUUUUAGAUUAAGGUGUAAUUUAUAUUUUGGUAAAAAGAAAUACUUUAUUAUUUAUUUAGAUUAAUAUGUUAUUUUAUUAUAAAUUAGGAUUUAAUAGUAAUAUUAAUUAUUAAAGAUUUAAUAUGAUUUAGCUAUAAAAAAUGUACAUAUUGCCCGUCACUCUUUGUAAAAGAUAAGUCGUAACAAAGUUAAUAUACUGGAAAGUAUAUUUUGUUAUAAUAUAAGCUUUAUAUAA
RNAcentral lists this non-coding RNA (707 nucleotides) under Riccardoella tokyoensis. The record is from RNAcentral. Lineage: Eukaryota; Metazoa; Arthropoda; Arachnida; Trombidiformes; Ereynetidae.